GCCCGUGUAGGCCAAUUGGUAGAGCCGUCUCGCUCAAGACGAGAACAGUGUGCGUUCGAAUCGCACCUCGGGCACCA
RNAcentral lists this transfer RNA (77 nucleotides) under Terriglobia bacterium. RNAcentral describes it as "tRNA-Leu". It matches the Rfam family "tRNA". From Rfam's summary of the family: Transfer RNA (tRNA) molecules are approximately 80 nucleotides in length. Their secondary structure includes four short double-helical elements and three loops (D, anti-codon, and T loops). Further hydrogen bonds mediate the characteristic L-shaped molecular structure. tRNAs have two regions of fundamental functional importance: the anti-codon, which is responsible for specific mRNA codon recognition, and the 3' end, to which the tRNAs corresponding amino acid is attached (by aminoacyl-tRNA synthetases). tRNAs cope with the degeneracy of the genetic code in two manners: having more than one tRNA (with a specific anti-codon) for a particular amino acid; and 'wobble' base-pairing, i.e. permitting non-standard base-pairing at the 3rd anti-codon position. Lineage: Bacteria; Pseudomonadati; Acidobacteriota; Terriglobia. The record is from RNAcentral.